AAUCAACGCUGGCGGCGCGCUUAACACAUGCAAGUCGCACGAGAAAGGGAGCAAUCCCUGAGUACAGUGGCGUACGGGUGAGUAACACGUGGGUAAUCUACCUCUUAGUGGGGGAUAUCUCUGGGAAACCGGAGUUAAUACCGCAUAAGUUCGGAAGAAGAAAGCGAGCAAUCGCGCUGAGAGAGGAGCCCGCGGCCGAUUAGCUAGUUGGUGGGGUAAAGCUCACCAAGGCAGAGAUCGGUAGCCGGCCUGAGAGGGCACACGGCCACACUGGCACUGAAACACGGGCCAGACUCCUACGGGAGGCAGCAGGUGGGGAAUCUUGCACAAGUGGGGGAAACCCUGACGCAGCAACGCCGCGUGGAGGAUGAAGUCCCUUGGGACGUAAACUCC
RNAcentral lists this ribosomal RNA (393 nucleotides) under uncultured bacterium. RNAcentral's name for it is "bacterial SSU rRNA". It matches the Rfam family "Bacterial small subunit ribosomal RNA", at positions 32 to 433 of the family's 1533-position model. The record is from RNAcentral.